UGGCCACAGAUGUGUUUAAUUCCAAAAACCUGGCUGUUCAGGCACAAAAGAAGAUCUUGGGUAAAAUGGUGUCCAAAUCCAUCGCCACCACCUUAAUAGACGACACGAGCAGUGAGGUUUUAGAUGAGCUCUACAGAGUGACCAAGGAGUACACCCAAAACAAGAAGGAGGCAGAGAAAAUCAUCAAAAACCUCAUCAAAACAGUCAUCAAGCUGGCCAUUCUUUACAGGAAUAAUCAAUUUAAUCAAGAUGAGCUGGCACUCAUGGAGAAAUUUAAGAAGAAAGUUCAUCAGCUUGCUAUGACGGUGGUCAGCUUCCAUCAGGUGGAUUACACCUUUGACCGGAAUGUGUUGUCUAAGCUGCUAAAUGAAUGCAGGGAUAUGCUCCACCAAAUCAUUCAGCGUCACCUCACCGCAAAAUCACAUGGACGGGUUAAUAAUGUCUUCGAUCAUUUUUCAAAUUGUGAAUUUUUGGCUGCCUUGUAUAAUCCCUUUGGAAACUUUAAACCCCACUUACAAAAACUUUGUGAUGGUGUCAACAAAAUGUUGGAUGAAGAGAACAUAUGAGCAUAUGAGUUAAGAUUGUGACUGCUCGUGAUUUAUUUGAAGAUGGAGCACUGCUGACUUAUGAAGGAAAAAAGAAUUUUUUUAAGAUUACACAUGUUUCAGAAAGACUUUCCCCAAUUCAGUUGUCAAGCAUUAAUGAUAAUGCUUUUAUGGGGCAUGUUUUAUUUGAAGAAAAGCAUAUUUCCAAAAAUUCUAGUGAAAAGCUUCCUAAUGGUUAACAGAUUAUGGGGAAAAUGUGUGGUUGGAUAAUUCAAAUGUAGAGUUAUACAAAGAAAGAUAAGUAUGGUUCCAAACCUCAAGAUAUCUUUUUUAGGGCAGUUGUUGUAUUGGUAGCGCAUCGGAUAUUUCUAACAUGUACAAAGUUAUGUAUUUUGAUUCAUUUCUAUUCCUUACUAUGUAUAUGUGCCUCUUUUAAAAAGCCAACAGCUUUCUCCUGCUGUUACUGCUCCUUUAGAAGUAAUUCCAUUUUCACGUUUACCUCAAUCCUUUCAUUAAAGUUUUUGUCAUUGACAUUCAAGAAUUAAGUCUGAGGCCAUCAAAAUGAACCCUCAGAAGAAUAGAAAACUGCUCAUCUGAAAUCAUUACUGUGGAAAUGAACUAUAUUGGACAUUGUCAGUAAUGGCCAAAGUAAGAAUAUGCUUCUGGAAUUGAGUACUGUUUUUUAAACCAGUGGUGAUACUUAAAUUCCCAGAAAUGUAAUAUAUCAUUGCCUCGAAAUGCAUGGUUAAAGCUUAACUUUCAUGUUAUCUUGAAAAUGUGCUAAUGAAAUCUUCAUUUUUCAUAUAAGUUUCAAAUAUAAUAGACAAAGUGACAGUCUAGAUUGUGCUUGAUAUUGGGAUAAUGCAAAGUAAGUGGUAUUAAGAAAGAGAAAACAAUCUUCAUUUUAGGGAAAAACCCACCAAAAUAACGGGGAGUAGGAGCAAAAGAGAAGAAAGGAUAUUGCUACAGAAUGAGCAUGAAAAUGAAUGCAUUUCAAAUGUUUAAGAAGAUCCGAUAGAUAGGAACUGCGUUGAAAACACUGAGGCACCAACCAGAAAAAAUGAGUCAAUUUUUGUUUCUAAAAUGCUGAAAAGGAAAAUCUUUAGGAGCCAAUAAUUACGUAUUGCCAUCACAAAGUACUGAAAAUUCAUUUUCUGUUUUGCUAAGGUGUGUCCUCUUGUCAAUAACUUCUGCAUAUUCUCUGGGAUAUGAUCAUGAGGUAGUUUAUAUCAGCCCAGAGCCAGGAAGACAUUUAUAUCUUGGGGAAUUUCCCAAAAUGGAAACAUUUUUGUGUAAUUUUGAUUCAUUUCUGUUCUAGCCAAAGAUGUAUUUUCCACCUAGCAAUGAAUAUCAGCCCCAAGUUUAUAGAGGGCAAGCCACUUCAAACACAGUACUGUCUGCUGAGUACUGAAAAAGUAUACGGACAAGUCAGCCAGCAUUUACAGUUGAGAAAAACAUCUGUGCUUCAGAAAAUGUUCUUCAAGCAAAGAGAAUUGUGCUUUGUGUCCACAGAAUUUCCGUGAGAUCUUCAUAAGAUGAGUCAGCCAAUGGAUAAGGCCCUUUUAUCUUCCUUAAUGGGUGGCCAAGAAGAUUCUCUGCCUCCCCCUGUAACAGCUGCCUAACUCGGUGUUUCUUCCUCAUAGAAAUAAGCUGGCUAAACAGGCACUUGAAGUUUGUUCUUAACACAAGGAAAGAAUACUGGAUUUUUGAAAACUGUGUUCUGACUCACAGAAUGGUCAAAGACAAUGUGCUUCUCUGUUCUCAGUUUUUUCCGUUUAAAAGCUUACAGAUGGAUUAAUUAAGCUCUUUAAAACUGCCUAAUGUGAGUUAUAAACACAAGACAGGAAAGUAAAAAUUCAGAGUAUAAAUGUUGAGAUUAUCACCAUUAUCUGGGAUGAUUGAUGUUUAUAAGAAGCCCAGGUUCCAUUUUCUAAGAAACAGCCUUUCUUCAGCCCAGCAGGAGCCACCACUUACCCAUUCCAAGUGGUGCAUCAGCAUCUUUUUGCUCUUCUAAGACCACUUGCUUUCACUAAAGGAUAAAUACUUGCCAAGCAAAUUAUAAAAUUUUAUAAGCCAUUUAAUGCCCUGGAAGAGGACUUGCUGAUGAUUAGAUAAAAGUGCCGGUGUUAUUGCUGUUCCCUAGUGAUAACGGACUUUGUGUUCUCAUCACUGAGAAGACACAUUUUCAGUUUGCUAAAAUAUUCACUGGAGAACAUAGAGUGAAAUCCAUGAGUGGAAACAUUCCAAGGUAUUUUCAAACACCAUGUGUCAGGAGUUUGGCAUCUGUUCCUCAGGGGGGACUCACUGGAGGGUGGCCAGGUAGAACCCGGCAGGGUACAGAAGGGUGUGUUUGGGGGCAGUCAGGAAACCAGCAUUUCCAGCCCCUGGUCUGCCAGGGAACUCUCUGGUCUGUGGCCUUAUCUCUAAAAUUUGGAUUAAAUCAACAACCUCAUGUUCUCAUUUUAAGAGUAAAAUUGAACAAAACAGAGAGGGCUUUGAAACCUCAAGGCUCUUCCUGUGUGAGGUAUUGUUAACUGGUGCCUUUCAGUGUUUCCAAAUUAGCAGUGAAAAUAAGCCUGGAGCCUACGAUAAAUUAAGCAACAGACUUAAACAGCUUGAGUGGGUUUUAUUAAAUCCCAGUCCCCUUAAAAGUUUGUUUUUUGCUUUCAAUUUAGGAAAAUUGUUUUGGGUUUCUAAAAGUGACUUAUGUUUGAUCCCUUAGCCAAUUAAAUUCUGAAUCUCUUAAA
This is an RNA transcript of Trichechus manatus latirostris (Florida manatee), 3292 nucleotides long. It is a transcript of the gene named TNF alpha induced protein 8, with no coding region annotated. Lineage: Eukaryota; Metazoa; Chordata; Mammalia; Sirenia; Trichechidae. The record is from RefSeq and is a predicted model, not a curated record. The transcript is spliced from 2 exons.